Molecule: RNA transcript, 5842 nt
Organism: Mytilus californianus (California mussel)
Lineage: Eukaryota; Metazoa; Mollusca; Bivalvia; Mytilida; Mytilidae
Gene name: heat shock 70 kDa protein 12A-like
Exons: 6
Source: RefSeq, a predicted model, not a curated record
AUUAAUAGGUAUUGAUUAUAGUAUAAUAUGUAAAACAAUAUGGACUCCAACAUUUUAUAUUGAUGAAACGGCACCUUUUAAAAGACAAAAAAAAAAGAAAACGCUGAUGAACGAGUCUUGUCAAGCUAUAUAUGGAUGAAGAUUAUAAACUUCUCGUAGCUGCGAUCGACUUUGGCAGUACAACAGCUGGAUAUGCGUUCUCUUUCCGACAUGAAUACCGAAAAGACCCUUUAGAUAUUUCUACUUUCCUUUGGACGACUGGAAAUCAUGAUAUUGCUACAAGUAAAGCGCCUUGUUCUGUUCUCCUGGACUUAGAGAAGAGAUUUAUAGCAUUUGGAUAUGAAGCUGAAGAUAAGUAUGAAGGAAUACUGGCUAAUAAUCUCCAAGAUGACUGGUAUUACUUCAAAGGAUUCAAAAUGUUACUAUACAAAGCUAUUGAGAAUGGGGAGGAUAUUGCCAGAGAUUUCAAGAUAGACGAUGUCACAGGGAAAUCUAUGUCUGCACGACGUAUCUUUUCCAUCGCUAUCGGAUAUCUACGUAGACAUUUAUUGGUACAGCUCCGUGAACGGAAUGUUGGAUUACACGAAAGCGAAAUUUGGUGGACUAUUACAGUACCUUCAAUAUGGACUGAACCUGCUAAAGAGUUUAUGAUGCAAUGUGCAGAAAAGGCUAGUCUAGAUCGGCAAAAGGUUUCCAUAUUGUUUGAACCGGAAGCAGCUUCAAUAUACUGUAGACUACUUCCUGUUGAUAAAUUCAUUGGACAAAACAAAGUGACGAGUUUUAAAUCAUUCGAAGCUGGUAGAAAAUAUAUAGUUGUUGACGCCGGCGGAGGUACUGUAAAUAUUUCGACACAGGAAGUUAGUCAUGGAGAGGAGAUCGAUAUGCUGUAUAAAGUUUCCGGUGGACCUUGGGGUGGCGACAAAAUUAAUGAAGAAUUUAUAAAGUUACUAUGUAAUGUAUUUGGAGAUGAUAUCAUUCAACAAUUUAGAGACUUUAAUGGUCCAGAUUACUUAGAUUUGACCCGACAAUUCGAAUUAAAAAAGAAGACAUACAACAGAUUUUUAAAAAAUGAUAUCGUUAUGAGACUUCCCUUUGAACUCUGUGAUCUUUUUGAGACAUAUACUGGACGAAAAAUAGAAGAUGCAAUCUGCAAGUCAAAGUACUCAGGUAAAAUAAAGUUCAAAAAGUCUAAACUAUGUCUCUCGCCUGAGGUGUUUGAAUACCUAUACUCCGACAUUGUACUAAAUGUAACACAAGAAAUAAGGAAAAUCUUAAACCACCCCCGAUGUAAAGAUGUUAGCGCUAUAUUAAUGGUUGGAGGCUUUUCUGAAUCUGAAAUUUUACAAUUGGAAAUAAAAAAUGCUUUUCCCGAUUUACAGUUCUUCAUUCCGAUGGAGGGUGGUCUCGCUGUCCUUAAGGGUGCAGUCAUUUAUGGGCAUAACCCAAGAACAUUUGGCACUAGAUUGUGCAAUUUUACAUAUGGCGUCAAUGCCAUGCUGCCUUUUAGUAAAAGACGUCAUCCUGAUUCUCAUCGAGUAAUAUGGAAUGGAAAGCCUUAUUGUUCCAAUAUUUUUCGUGUACUUUUUAUUGUAAAUGAAGAAAUUAAAGAAGGCGAAGUAAGAUCUAUUCGUGUUAUAGAUGCGUUUGAUACUGAAGAAGCUCAAGAGAAAAGGUUCUCCCCAAUCAGAGUUCAAAUAUUUGCAAGUGAUGAAGAAGAUCCUGUUUACACCACUGAUGAAGGCUGCCGAUUACAUGCAGAAAUAGUUGUAUCACCCCCAGACGGAAAAUGGCCUCGGCGUGUUUUUGGAACUGUUGAAUUAGAAUUUGCCGGAACUGAAAUGAUAGGGACUUAUAUUUCAGAUGACACAGGCGCGAAAACGUGCGCUCGGUUUGAAUUUUUACCGUCUGUGCCUUCUUCAAGAGCAUCCUCGGCAAAAUCUAGACGAGACAGUUUACGUUCAAAAGGCAUUAUUGAAAAUCAUUUCACUUCAAAAGCGACGUUACGAACGAUUCAGGAAGAAGAUACAUAUUCAAGAAGAAGCAGAAAGUCCACAGAGAAAAAGCCUAUGGGUUCUUCUGUAAGCCUUGACACAAUUUCAGACGAUCAAAGUUUUAAAGGCAGUUUAAUGCUUAACAGAGGAAAUCUAUAUAAACACGACUCUAGAACAACUAUUUAUUCAGAUAUUCAAGACGAGGAAAAGGGUUCAACAGCAAGUUUAAGGAAACUAGUUGCAUCGACGACUAGUAUAAAUACUACAGAUUCAGACAACGACGAAAUCAAAAUUGAAGUAGACUAGAUUCAAUGUGUGAUGUUUCUUGUCCUUUUAAAAAUUGUUUAAGAACAUUAAGUUACAAUUACAGAUGAAAUAAUAUAUCUUUAAAUAAUCCUGAUUAAUUCUAAAUAUGCAAUGAAAUCUUACCACCUUAUUCUUGAUAAACAAAACGUUGAAAUCGGUCAUUGUAUUUAUAAACCUUGAUUUAUGAACUGUUCAUGGUAAUUGCAUGCCAAAAUUAAUGACAAACAGGACGACUUUACUUUACCUUUUGAUGUUUGCCUUUUUCUUUAUGGUGAUUUUCUCUUUGUUUUUCUGAAAGGGUCUACAUUCCUUUAUUUGUGCGAUAAUAACUCAUUAAUGACACCAUGCUUGAAAUUGUGGGCACCGGACGCAUGCACGUUUCUUCUACAUAGACUCACUAGUGACGCUUGAAUCAAAACAAUUGGAAGGCCAAAUUAAAUACAAACUUGAAUAGCUUUGUAGAAGAUAUGCACAUGUUUGCAAUGGGUCUCAGAUUUCAACGAAUGUUACAUUUUCAUUAUUAAAACACUUUUUUCAGCAGGGAUAUAGAUAACAUAUUGGUAAAUAUGUCAUUAAAUUAAAUCACAAUGCCAGUAAUGCCUUAGGGGAUUUGUUGUGAAAGAAUGUUUCCAACUGCAGGAAUUGUCCUUCAAAUCCUUCUUUUUUACUUACGGAUAUGAUGGCUUAAAACAAUAAUAAAUGAAAAUUUUAAAUUCUAAAAAGUAAUUACUGUGCGUAGUGUGUAAGAUCAUGUCUUACUGUAUUGUUAAUAACUUUGCAGUUUGAAAUCUACUUGGAAUUGAAGCCGCCGAUAUUAGAGUGUAAGACUACGUGUUUUCCUUAUCAGCGAUUUCUGGAUUUUAACCGAGAGCAUUCUUUGAUGAGAAAUGUGUUUAUUUUGGUUUGGAUGAAUCUGUUCUGUCUCUCCAUUAUACCGAUAUUCCCAAGUAGAGUACGUUUUCAGAGCUGAUUGUAUCUCCAUUAGUAUUAUCAUUAUCAGUAUUAUUUCGUCUUUGUGUUGUUGGAAGGAAUUGGUGUUAAUGGAAGAUCUCUAAAAGUCUGUUGAUUUUAUUCACUGUUUCAAGACUCGCGAAAAUUUCGAGCUUGACAUAUCGUAUAGACACUUGCCAAUCAUAGAAGACCUUAUGUUGACCUUUGUAUGUUUUAUUUUCCUUUGCGUCGUUGGGUUUUUGUCAAAUUGACAAAAGCCAAACAUCUUCUAUUCACAUUUGAUCAUUUCCCAUAUGAUAGAUAUGAUUUAAUUGCCAUACAAAUCGAAGUUAGCCUAAUCGUACACACACUGUAUAUAAUAUCUUAUUUCCAUGGUUUCCUGUGUGGCUGAGUGGUGUAAGUAGUUCAUCUACUGUAUCACUAGCCUGUCAACAUUGAGGUUGUGAGUUCGAACCCCGAACGUGGAAGGUGGGUAAGACUCCAAUUUUGUUGACUAGGAUUGCCAGUUUCCCGGUCGAAGGUCGGUGGUUCUCUCCGGGUACUCGGGCUACUGCCACGAAUAAAAUAUAGCAGCCGCGAAAUAGCUAAUAGUGCUGAAAGUGGAAUUAAACACCAAAAAUGAAUCAAUCAAUCAAUCAAUCACUUUUUUUUCUAUCUAGCAACCCUCUUAUAAUUAAAAAAAAAUGCAAAUAUAAUUUUUAUUAAAGCAAUUAAAAUGCUACAUUUUUCAUUAUCAUUAUCUUGCAAUAACAAUCAAUACCUAUUAAACAAACAAACCAUCAAACGAACAAACAAACAAACAAACCAAACAACGUAUUUUAUAUGACAUUCUUUUUCGCUUGUUCAUAGAGACAUAGUCCCAUGUAACAACUUGAUGAAAUGAUAACUCCCCGCAAAAUACAUCAAUAUACAUAAGUAAACAAAAAAAUCUCAACAAUUCCAGCUUAAAUGCCGACCUUUUGUAUAAAGCACUUCAACGAUUAUUAUUAUUAUAGAUACCAACGGGUGAUGGUCUGUAGAAUGAUAUACACUUGUGUAACUUGGAAGUAAAACAAAUAUGUUGUUGUAAACGUGAUGAACGUUUCAUAUUCAAUUCAUUUUAAUGCGUAGUAAGUUAAAUGCUUACUAUAAAAAGUUGUACAUUGUUUACUAACAAUAAACAACUGUGACAGGACUUGUGCAAAGAUGUCAGAUCUAUUGACAAAUAUCCAUAAAACCAGACAAAAUGCAAGAAAAGCUAUAUCACAAGGAAUAUUAGAUACGGCACUCUUUCUGUCAAAUGUAGCCCAGCUAAAAUCAAUUAUAGAUGAGGAUCUAGGAACAGAAGCAAAACCAAAAGUAGCGAUAGCUAUGAUCUCAUUAUCGUUACUCAUACAAGUGGUGAUAGGAAUAUUAAUUAUACUGUUACUGGAUGUUGAAGGCGCCUUAAUAGAGCUCGGAGACAUGGAACGUGGACGUACGAUGCUUCCUGCUGAGGACGAUAUCACAGAAGAAUCAACUCUUUUGGAACCAGAUCCAAUACCUAUAAUGGCUACUGAUCAUACAGGGGACACUUAUGUUUUCAAAAAAAGACAAAAACUCAAAGCUCGAGCCAGAAGAAUAAACACUGCUAUAUUAUUUUUUAUAUUUUCAGUUUUCUGCUUAAAUCUGAUCAUUAAUGGCUUAGAACUUUCAAAACCAAACACUCUUAAACAAUGGCUUAAAGCUUAUAAUAUUACAAUUUCAAGAUGAUCAAUGAAAAACAUUCCAAGUAUGUCUGCUAAAACUUCAAAAAAUAUGUUUCGUCUAAAAUAAUAUUUCGGUUUUGAUAUACAUGCAAGUUACUAUUGGAAAAAAAGAAUGCAGACACAUGUUAUAUGAAUAUAAAGGCAUUAACACCUUCAUAAUAUCAGCUCUAUUAUCAGGGGAAUAAAAACAAUCAAAUUAAAAUCUGUAGUUUUAAGUCAAAUUUAAGUGUAUAAGAAGAAAAGAUGCAGUUAAUAUGUCUGAGCGCUAGCUCGAAUGCUUUUUGUCAGUGUUUUUUUCCGAUAUACGUGACCUUGUGCAUACUGGUGCUUUUAUUGUUUUAAAAUAUAAAGUUUACAUACUUAAAUCACAUACUAGUAAUAUUAGGAAAUAUAUGUAGAUAUGUCUGCUUAAAACUUCAAAAGAAAUGUUUCGUUUAAAAUCAGAUUUUGGUUUGUAUCACCCUUUAGUGACUAAUGGUCUUCCCCUUUGUGUGAUUGAUCCUUUAAAAGACCCACAGAUCCACUAACUGAUUUCUCUAAAACAAUCCAGAUUUCACAUUUCUUAUUUAAUUCAUUGUGAGAAUGUUUGAAAUGACUUCUCAGAUUUUAAUGAACAUAAUAGAUUGUAAUCACUAAUUUCUAUAUCUCAUCAAUUGGUUAAAAAUUCUUUUACAUUAAGCUUACUUUUGCUACAAACAUAAUGUAUAUAUAUAUAUAUAUUUAUGUAUAUCAAUCAUUGAAGUAUUACUCCACUUGCAGAAAUUUAUAGUACAAAAUGGCAUUUUACAUAAAGCUUUUUAUGGAUACUUUAUCAUUAUUUAGCAGACAAGUUAAGGAAUAUUACCCAUAAAAUCUUUAUUAUCUGAC